UGUGCCUCCUGCCUCAGCAGAGAUCUAGGAUCUCAAUAGAGAUCACCUAUUCAACCCUUCAGAUCUCAGGCAAUUUUCCUUCUUCAAAAACUAAGAGGCAGGAAGCUUUUGUUGAGGAAGAUUUGGGAAGACAUACCCUUGCCCCUCUUGUUCUCCCGCAUUAGUCGACAUUUGGAUUCACCAAACUUGAGCCCUGGAUUGAAGGCCUUCCAUUUUCAGCACUCUCUAUAAUAAGGGUAAUUAUACAUUUUCAGGAUACUUUGGAAUUCCAGACAGUGGACCCAAGCAUGGAAACAAGCAUAUAAGAUCCAGCAAUACAUGGAAAUUGGAACAAGCAAAUAGAUUAUACUGACAAGUGGCUGAGUCCUCUCACAACUGUAUAUCCUUGAGAAGUAGUUCUAGUACAGUAGGAAAAUUAGUGAAAGCAAUAGAGGAUUCUGGAAUUGAAAGAAUUGAUGUUAUGUGCUUGUACUAAGCAGGGAUCUAGUCUUCCGAUAUAUGAACAUGGAUCAUUGAAGUACCAUGCGAUGCUUUGCCCUAAAAAACCAGAGAAGAAUGGGCCCCAAGAACUGGUCAGAGUAAGCAGCAAGAAUAUGGAGGAAGGUGGAGCUCUUCAACCUGAAGAGAGAGAGAGACCAUGGGAGAGGGGCAGAGAGAGA
This is a long non-coding RNA of Herpailurus yagouaroundi (jaguarundi), 659 nucleotides long. RefSeq lists it as uncharacterized. The transcript is spliced from 4 exons. NCBI's taxonomy places the organism in Eukaryota, Metazoa, Chordata, Mammalia, Carnivora, Felidae. The record is from RefSeq and is a predicted model, not a curated record.